AACCCAACUGGACGCGACCCGAAC
Molecule: non-coding RNA, 24 nt
Filed under: Arabidopsis thaliana (thale cress)
Lineage: Eukaryota; Viridiplantae; Streptophyta; Magnoliopsida; Brassicales; Brassicaceae
Source: RNAcentral